Non-coding RNA from Paramuricea clavata, 772 nucleotides. The record is from the annotation of a GenBank genome assembly. NCBI's taxonomy places the organism in Eukaryota, Metazoa, Cnidaria, Anthozoa, Malacalcyonacea, Plexauridae.
GGCAACAUAGUUUAAUCUUUUAGUCUCUCAGAUACAAAAUACUACUAAAUCCACAAUGUUGGUCUUUAUAACUGCAGCGAAACAGCGGGUAAACUUUUAAAACGUAUAUAAUUGGGGUACAACAACACAACUGGUGUCAACACUUGGAUCCAAAGGGUGUGGGUUCGUUUUGCCGAACGAAAGUGGGUUGUCGAAACAGAAAAAUGGUUUAUGUCGGUUCCCCCCAUGCGUAGCACCACAAGGGUAGCACCGAGUGCCGAUGGUGCGAGAAACUACAUCAUGGGCUAAAGGAUCAUGUUGCCCCGGAAAAUUUUGAAAUUUACAGCUUUGAAACGACAUUUAAGUUAUUAAUGCACGUUGUGCCAUGAUUCUAUACAAUUUUGAUGGCUAGAAAACGACGUGUAAACCACAUGAAAUUGGAUGACGACUUGUAUUACUUGGUAUGCUUUAAUCAAAGAUAGGGUACAGUCCGGUCAGCGCAUGCGCACAUAGGAAUCUCCUGCCGUGAUAUAAACACUUUAAUUAGGCUUUUAUUUCAUUUUAUGUUCUGGCAAAGCCCGAUUGUUGUAUCUUGAUCAUUUAUUAUACUGUAUAGAUGCAUGAAAAUAUAACUAGUUGUCGAAUAAAGUUCAAUAUUUUUGAAUACCGAAAUGUAAACAAACGCUUUGUACCCUUUGACUGUACCCUACCUUUAAGUCAUUUCAACACCACAGAUUUAGGCAGCGAGGAACGAAAACUCUUAAGUUUGGAACGUGAUCUGAAUCAAGUACAC